This 893-nucleotide ribosomal RNA is filed under the name uncultured bacterium. Its description in RNAcentral is "bacterial SSU rRNA". It matches the Rfam family "Bacterial small subunit ribosomal RNA", at positions 8 to 916 of the family's 1533-position model. The record is from RNAcentral.
AGAGUUUGAUCCUGGCUCAGGACGAACGCUGGCGGCGUGCUUAACACAUGCAAGUCGAACGAUGAAGCCCUUCGGGGUGGAUUAGUGGCGAACGGGUGAGUAACACGUGGGCAAUCUGCCCUUCACUCUGGGACAAGCCCUGGAAACGGGGUCUAAUACCGGAUGACACUCUGUCCCGCAUGGGACGGGGUUAAAAGCUCCGGCGGUGAAGGAUGAGCCCGCGGCCUAUCAGCUUGUUGGUGGGGUGAUGGCCUACCAAGGCGACGACGGGUAGCCGGCCUGAGAGGGCGACCGGCCACACUGGGACUGAGACACGGCCCAGACUCCUACGGGAGGCAGCAGUGGGGAAUAUUGCACAAUGGGCGAAAGCCUGAUGCAGCGACGCCGCGUGAGGGAUGACGGCCUUCGGGUUGUAAACCUCUUUCAGCAGGGAAGAAGCGAGAGUGACGGUACCUGCAGAAGAAGCGCCGGCUAACUACGUGCCAGCAGCCGCGGUAAUACGUAGGGCGCAAGCGUUGUCCGGAAUUAUUGGGCGUAAAGAGCUCGUAGGCGGCUUGUUGCGUCGGUUGUGAAAGCCCGGGGCUUAACCCCGGGUCUGCAGUCGAUACGGGCAGGCUAGAGUGUGGUAGGGGAGAUCGGAAUUCCUGGUGUAGCGGUGAAAUGCGCAGAUAUCAGGAGGAACACCGGUGGCGAAGGCGGAUCUCUGGGCCAUUACUGACGCUGAGGAGCGAAAGCGUGGGGAGCGAACAGGAUUAGAUACCCUGGUAGUCCACGCCGUAAACGUUGGGAACUAGGUGUUGGCGACAUUCCACGUCGUCGGUGCCGCAGCUAACGCAUUAAGUUCCCCGCCUGGGGAGUACGGCCGCAAGGCUAAAACUCAAAGGAAUUGACGG